ACUUCGUAGACUCCUACGGGAGGCAGCAGUGGGAAUUUUGGACAAUGGGCGCAAGCCUGAUCCAGCAAUGCCGCGUGCAGGAUGAAGGCCUUCGGGUUGUAAACUGCUUUUGUACGGAACGAAAAGCCCUGGGUUAUACCCUGGGGUCAUGACGGUACCGUAAGAAUAAGCACCGGCUAACUACGUGCCAGCAGCCGCGGUAAUACGUAGGGUGCGAGCGUUAAUCGGAAUUACUGGGCGUAAAGCGUGCGCAGGCGGUUUUGUAAGACAGAGGUGAAAUCCCCGGGCUCAACCUGGGAACUGCCUUUGUGACUGCAAGGCUAGAGUACGGCAGAGGGGAUGGAAUUCCGCGUGUAGCAGUGAAAUGCGUAGAUAUGCGGAGGAACACCGAUGGCGAAGGCAAUCCCCUGGGCCUGUACUGACGCUCAUGCACGAAAGCGUGGGGAGCAAACAGGAUUAGAUACCCUGGUAG
RNAcentral lists this ribosomal RNA (472 nucleotides) under uncultured bacterium. Its description in RNAcentral is "bacterial SSU rRNA". It matches the Rfam family "Bacterial small subunit ribosomal RNA", at positions 326 to 793 of the family's 1533-position model. The record is from RNAcentral.